AACGAACGCUGGCGGCAUGCCUAACACAUGCAAGUCGAACGAGAUCUUCGGGUCUAGUGGCGCACGGGUGUGUAACGCGUGGGAAUCUGCCCUUUGGUUCGGAAUAACAGUUGGAAACGACUGCUAAUACCGGAUAAUGACGAAAGUCCAAAGAUUUAUCGCCAGAGGAUGAGCCCGCGUAGGAUUAGCUAGUUGGUGUGGUAAAGGCGCACCAAGGCGACGAUCCUUAGCUGGUCUGAGAGGAUGAUCAGCCACACUGGGACUGAGACACGGCCCAGACUCCUACGGGAGGCAGCAGUGGGGAAUAUUGGACAAUGGGCGAAAGCCUGAUCCAGCAAUGCCGCAUGAGUGAUGAAGGCCUUAGGGUUGUAAAGCUCUUUUACCCGGGAUGAUAAUGACAGUACCGGGAGAAUAAGCUCCGGCUAACUCCGUGCCAGCAGCCGCCGUAA
Molecule: ribosomal RNA, 449 nt
Filed under: uncultured bacterium
Lineage: Bacteria
Description: partial 16S ribosomal RNA
Rfam family: Bacterial small subunit ribosomal RNA
Source: RNAcentral